This 253-nucleotide ribosomal RNA is filed under the name uncultured bacterium. RNAcentral's name for it is "partial 16S ribosomal RNA". It matches the Rfam family "Bacterial small subunit ribosomal RNA", at positions 524 to 776 of the family's 1533-position model. The record is from RNAcentral.
UACAGAGGUCUCAAGCGUUGUUCGGAUUCAUUGGGCGUAAAGGGUGCGUAGGUGGCGCCGUAAGUCAGGUGUGAAAUCUCGCGGCUCAACUGCGAGGCUGCCUCCUAAACUGUCGGGCCCGAGCACAGUAGAGGCAGGUGGAAUUCCCGGUGUAGCGGUGGAAUGCGUAGAGAUCGGGAAGAACAUCGGUGGCGAAGGCGGCCUGCUGGGCUGUUGCUGACGCUGAGGCGCGACAGCGUGGGGAGCAAACAGG